This 497-nucleotide ribosomal RNA is filed under the name uncultured bacterium. RNAcentral's name for it is "partial 16S ribosomal RNA". It matches the Rfam family "Bacterial small subunit ribosomal RNA", at positions 28 to 507 of the family's 1533-position model. The record is from RNAcentral.
GAUGAACGCUGGCGGCGUGCCUAAUACAUGCAAGUCGAGCGAACGGACCAGUAGCUUGCUUCUCUGAUGUUAGCGGCGGACGGGAGAGUAACAUGUGGAUCACCUACCUAUAAGACUGGGUUAACUUCGUGAAGCCGGUGCCGAUAACGGAUACUAUCUUCAUGCGCAUGGUUCGAAAGUGUAAGACGGUUUUGCUGUACCCUAUAGAUGUAUCCGCGCUGCAUUGGCUAGUUGGUACCGUAACGGCUUACCAAAGCGGCGAUGCAUUGCCGACCUGAGAGGGUGAUCGGCCACACUGGAACUGAGCCACGGUCCAGACUCCUACGGGAGGCAGCAGUAGGGAAUCGUCCGAGAUGGGCGAAAGCCUGACGGAGCGACGCCGCGUGAGUGAUGAAGGUCCUCGGAUCGUAAAACUCUGUUAUUGGUGUAGAACGUAUGUGGAAGGGACUGUGCACAUCUUGACGGUACCUAAUCAGAAAGCAACGGCUAACUACGUG